GACGAACGCUGGCGGCGUGCUUAACACAUGCAAGUCGAACGGAAAGGCCCUGCUUUUGUGGGGUGCUCGAGUGGCGAACGGGUGAGUAACACGUGAGUAACCUGCCCUUGUCUUUGGGAUAACUUCAGGAAACUGGGGCUAAUACCGGAUAGGAGCUCCUGCUGCAUGGUGGGGGUUGGAAAGUUUCGGCGGUUGGGGCUGGACUCGCGGCUUAUCAGCUUGUUGGUGGGGUAGUGGCUUACCAAGGCUUUGACGGGUAGCCGGCCUGAGAGGGUGACCGGCGACAAUGGUACUGAGAGACGGCGCAGACUCCUACGGGAGGCAGUAGUGGGGAAUAUUGCACAAUGGGCGGAAGCCUGAUGCAGCAACGCCGCGUGCGGGAUGACGGCCUACGGGGUGUAAACCGCUUUCGCCUGUGACGAAGCGUGAGUGACGGUAAUGGGUAAAGAAGCACCGGCUAACUACGUG
This 468-nucleotide ribosomal RNA is filed under the name uncultured bacterium. Its description in RNAcentral is "partial 16S ribosomal RNA". It matches the Rfam family "Bacterial small subunit ribosomal RNA", at positions 28 to 507 of the family's 1533-position model. The record is from RNAcentral.